This 409-nucleotide ribosomal RNA is filed under the name Fusobacteriota bacterium. RNAcentral describes it as "Fusobacteria bacterium partial 16S ribosomal RNA". It matches the Rfam family "Bacterial small subunit ribosomal RNA", at positions 355 to 776 of the family's 1533-position model. Lineage: Bacteria; Fusobacteriati; Fusobacteriota. The record is from RNAcentral.
UGGGGAAUAUUGCACAAUGGAGGGAACUCUGAUGCAGCAACGCCGCGUGCGGGAUGACGGCCUUCGGGUUGUAAACCGCUUUCAGCCAUGACGAAGCUUUUGUGACGGUAGUGGUAGAAGAAGCACCGGCUAACUACGUGCCAGAAGCCGCGGUGAUACGUAGGGUGCGAGCGUUUUCCGGAAUUAUUGGGCGUAAAGAGCUUGUAGGCGGUUUGUCGCGUCGAUAGUGUCAACACGCAGCUUAACUGUGUGCCUGCUGUCGAUACGUGCUGACUAGAGGAGGGUAGGGGAGAAUGGAAUUCCCGGUGGAGCGGUGGAAUGCGCAGAUAUCGGGAGGAACACCAGUGGCGAAGGCGGUUCUCUGGACCUUUCCUGACGCUGAGAAGCGAAAGCGUGGGUAGCAAACAGG